Non-coding RNA from Pocillopora verrucosa, 304 nucleotides. The record is from RefSeq and is a predicted model, not a curated record. NCBI's taxonomy places the organism in Eukaryota, Metazoa, Cnidaria, Anthozoa, Scleractinia, Pocilloporidae.
UGUCUGAAAAGUCUCAUUGCGAUGGAUUUAAGGUUUGGAUAUCGGUUUAUUCGUGUAAUCUUCGUACUAAUGCAAGCUCCAAUGUUAUGAGUGUUUAUGAGGAAUUGACUGAAGUGUUUUGCCUAGUUGCAGGCACCUAGGCAAGGAUAACAAAUUAUGACGGUCUUCUCACAUCAGCGAUUAAUGGUCAGAUGUCUGAUGAACAAGUGGACCUGAAGCUUCAAGAGCAGAUUUAUUUCAGGAUGCUUGUUUUAUUUUGCAAUCCAGCUGUAAGGUGAACCAGAUAAACAAACUCUUUUAAUAA